This 248-nucleotide long non-coding RNA is filed under the name Homo sapiens (human). RNAcentral's name for it is "HSALNT0254590". The record is from RNAcentral. Lineage: Eukaryota; Metazoa; Chordata; Mammalia; Primates; Hominidae.
UCUCCGGGCUCUUUUUCCUCCAGAUCCAGUCCCAAGUUGCUCUCUCCUUCCUUUGCUGUCUUUUUCUCCUUCUUCCUCUUCUCUUCUUUCUCCUUGGCCUCUUUCUUCUCUCUCUUGUCUUCACUGUAGGGAUACAAAGGCCCCAAACCAUAAUAAGAAACAGAGACACUCCUAUUUAAUGGCCACUCACUUGAGCCAGCCCAUGUGAUGAGUAUUUUACAAGCGGUAUCUCAGUGAAUCUUCAAAAU